UGCAGAAUCCCGUGAACCAUCGAGUCUUUGAACGCAAGUUGCGCCCUAAGCCAUUUGGCCGAGGGCACGUCUGCCUGGGCGUCAAUCAUCUAUUCGUCACCCAACCUCCGCUCCCCGAAAAGGAGCUUUGGUCCCGGGUACGGAAGUUGGCCUCCCGUGCUCUCGAAGCGCGGCUGGCCUAAAACUGAGCAUCGGACUGAUGAUCUCCGAGGCACGCGGUGGUUGUUCAUUCCUACCUCGUGACGUUGCCAAGGAGCGUCUCCCGUACGAAGCUCCACGACCCUAGAUUUACUAUCGAUGCGACCCCAGGUCAGGCGGGGCCACCCGCUGAAUUUAAGCAUAUCAAUAAGCGGAGGAAAAGAAACUAACAAGGAUUCCCCUAGUAGCGGCGAGCGAACCGGGAAAUGCCCACCAUGAAAAUCGAGCUCCUUUGGUGCUCGA
RNAcentral lists this ribosomal RNA (441 nucleotides) under Epilobium obscurum. RNAcentral describes it as "eukaryotic LSU rRNA". The stretch from base 301 to 441 matches the Rfam family "Eukaryotic large subunit ribosomal RNA", at positions 1 to 141 of the family's 3401-position model. Lineage: Eukaryota; Viridiplantae; Streptophyta; Magnoliopsida; Myrtales; Onagraceae. The record is from RNAcentral.